UUAUCGUAUAUUUGAUAGUACCUACUACAUGGAUAACCGUGGUAAUUCUAGAGCUAAUACAUGCUUAAAAUCCCGACUUCGGAAGGGAUGUAUUUAUUAGAUUAAAAACCAAUGCCCUUCGGGGCUCACUGGUGAUUCAUAAUAACUUCUCGAAUCGCAUGGCCUUGUGCCGGCGAUGGUUCAUUCAAAUUUCUGCCCUAUCAACUUUCGACGGCUGGGUCUUGGCCAGCCGUGGUUACAACGGGUAACGGAGGGUUAGGGCUUGACCCCGGAGAAGGAGCCUGAGAAACGGCUACUACAUCCAAGGAAGGCAGCAGGCGCGCAAAUUACCCAAUCCCGAUACGGGGAGGUAGUGACAAUAAAUACUGAUACAGGGCUCUUUUGGGUCUUGUAAUUGGAAUGAGUACAAUUUAAAUCCCUUAACGAGGAACAAUUGGAGGGCAAGUCUGGUGAGGAAAAGUACAAUGCUGCUUGCGCCAGAAAGAGUAUUAGGUAGAGAUAUCUAUCUACUGCUAGUCGAGCACCCGAUACAGCUGCGGGUGGGUGCCGGCGACACAACCUGGAUCGGGGAAGGCUAAGGGCUCAGCCUAUGCUAAUCCCGCGCGGAGUCUCAGUAGAGUGAUCUUCUGAAGACCCGUGUAGAGCGCGCCAAGGUGUGGGCUGCCCUGUGCUUGCACAGGCGGCUUAAGGGACGUGCCGACCACCGGGAAACCGGAUUCCUCCAUGGAGCACCCGCAAGUGCAAAGUAGGAGGACACCUUCCAGGGUACCUGGUACCUGUCGGGAGGUGGGGAGAACGCAGAUACUUGGUUUUCACUUCUGGGGGUAAUUCAGAAUCAAUUGAAUUCCAAAGUGAUCUCUUUUCGGCCAGCAGCCGCGGUAAUUCCAGCUCCAAUAGCGUAUAUUAAAGUUGUUGCAGUUAAAAAGCUCGUAGUUGAACCUUGGGCCUGGCUGGCCGGUCUGCCUCACCGCAUGCACUGGUCCGGCCGGGCCUUUCCCUCUGGGGAGCCGCAUGCCCUUCACUGGGUGUGUCGGGGAACCAGGACUUUUACUGUGAAAAAAUUAGAGUGUUCAAAGCAGGCCUAUGCUCGAAUACAUUAGCAUGGAAUAAUAGAAUAGGACGUUGCGGUUCUAUUUUGUUGGUUUCUAGGACCGCCGUAAUGAUUAAUAGGGACAGUCGGGGGCAUCAGUAUUCAAUCGUCAGAGGUGAAAUUCUUGGAUCGAUUGAAGACUAACUACUGCGAAAGCAUUUGCCAAGGAUGUUUUCAUUAAUCAGGAACGAAAGUUAGGGGAUCGAAAACGAUCAGAUACCGUUGUAGUCUUAACCAUAAACUAUGCCGACUAGGGAUCGGGCGAUGUUUUUCUUUGACU
This 1370-nucleotide ribosomal RNA is filed under the name Chrysoporthe austroafricana. RNAcentral describes it as "SSU rRNA". It matches the Rfam family "Eukaryotic small subunit ribosomal RNA", at positions 110 to 1076 of the family's 1831-position model. The record is from RNAcentral. Lineage: Eukaryota; Fungi; Ascomycota; Sordariomycetes; Diaporthales; Cryphonectriaceae.